Molecule: long non-coding RNA, 1473 nt
Organism: Macrobrachium nipponense
Lineage: Eukaryota; Metazoa; Arthropoda; Malacostraca; Decapoda; Palaemonidae
Exons: 4
Source: RefSeq, a predicted model, not a curated record
AUCUGGACGAUACAAAAAGAAUCGUGUCGCAUGAAAUUUGAGCCCCACUGUACAUCGAAAAUUGCUUCUAUCUUCUGGCCAAUAGAAAAAAACUUAUUAAUAUAUUCUUAAAAGGUGUAAAACCUUUUCUGGACACUUCGCUAUUGUGGAAGUUCCUGAUUGGUUAAGAAGAAAUGUCUGUCUCUCGUAAAGAACCAACAUAGUCACAGACUACCAGUUAGACCUCUUGAAGUCUGUAUCUAGACCGUGUUUCGAAGUUGUGUGUGGUUUUCUGUGAUUGACAUCGCCGGUAGGAGGUUCGUAAAAUCUUCGCAGGUUUGAACUCUAUACAGCAAGAUCUACUGACUACGAAAUGGCCCCAUAGUCAGUUGCCUGUGAAUGGCAACACUGGCUUCACAGUCUGAAAAUGAAAUGGCUACACAGUUAAUGUCUAUGAAGAAUCGUCUCGACAAAAUGGCACCUCUUGCUAUGGAGAGUGGCUCUUGCUUAAAAUGUCCUGGAUACUGGUUUGAAGUUUUACGUGGCCAAUUCGAAUUGUUACUGGGCCAUUGAUCAAAACCGUGUCUUAAUGGACAUCUGUGCAGCCUGUCUGCAUACCAUGAGGAAUCAUUCGAAAAUACCAACUUCUUAAAAUUUGAUCUGGUCAGUCAGGCAUUCUGCAAGCAGUACCUGUUUGUAAUCACGAAGAGGCGUUCACUUUCACAAUGUGACCAUAGAGAUAUUUGGCUUCAUCAUUUAAUAUGAAUUCCACAUACUCAAUCAAGCUUGCUCUACAAAUCACUAAUUCAUCACCUACUAAAUUCAGUCUGGUUAACCAAGAAAUGUAAUUGGGACUUGUUGCUUGGCUAAUGAAAGUUUACAUCUGCAGAAAGUACCAUUGGACUAAACUGUAGCAAUGAUCAAGAAAGUCUUUCAAGAGAUUGAAAUACAUUUGAACCCGAGAUGUCAGUCCCAUUCUCUGUAUACAAAGCUGAGGAGCUAGUGGUGUUCAAAAAAAAAAAAAAAAAAAAAAAAAAAAAAAGAAAGAGAGAGAAAAAAAAAAGUCUGGUUUAACUGAAGUCAUGGUUACAAUCCAGCGGAGUUCAGCUUUAAAUGUGUUAAAACGGAGUCGUCUUCGAUACACCAUUCUCUUCGAAGAACGCGAAAAUCUUUGGUAUAGUAGUAUUUUCAAGUCGUCUUAUUUACUUCAGUGGUUACAGAAGAAUUGGUUCUCCAGCAGACUCGUUAGUCAUAACCACAAGAUCGAGAGCAUUUUUCAUAAAGUGGUUAUGUAAAAGACCAUGGUUGUAAGUGGAAGGUUUUUACCGCUAGUCUUGUAAUGGAAGAGUACAUCAAUCCUGUUUCAUUGAAGACUAUAAUCUACCUACUUUGCUCUCUGCUGUAUGUAGCCCAUUUCCUUGCGUCACUAAGAAUUUCCCUUAUAUAUUAAUAUAUACACUUUAUUUGCUGUAUCUUUAAAAAGCUUAAGUCAGA